This 253-nucleotide ribosomal RNA is filed under the name uncultured prokaryote. RNAcentral describes it as "partial 16S ribosomal RNA". It matches the Rfam family "Bacterial small subunit ribosomal RNA", at positions 524 to 776 of the family's 1533-position model. The record is from RNAcentral.
UACGGAGGGUGCAAGCGUUGCUCGGAAUUAUUGGGCGUAAAGGGCAGGUAGGUGGUCUUAUUUGUCUGGGGUGAAAGCCUUGUGCUUAACACAAGAAGUGCCUCGGAAACGGUGAGACUAGAGUCCUAGAGAGGGUCGUGGAAUUCCCGGUGUAGCGGUGAAAUGCGUAGAGAUCGGGAGGAACACCAGAAGCGAAGGCGGCGACCUGGAUAGGCACUGACACUCAACUGCGAAAGCGUGGGGAGCAAACAGG